GUGGGGAAUAUUGGACAAUGGGCGCAAGCCUGAUCCAGCGACGCCGCGUGGAGGACGAAGGCCUUCGGGUUGUAAACUCCUUUUGGAGGGGAAGAAUAAAUUGACGGUACCAUCAGAAAAAGCCACGGCUAACUACGUGCCAGCAGCCGCGGUAAUACGUAGGUGGCGAGCGUUACUCGGAAUUACUAGGCGUAAAGCGUAUGUAGGUGGUUAGAUAAGUCUAUGGUGAAAUUUCCUGGCUUAACUGGGAAGGGACAUAGAUACUAUCUGGCUUGAGUGUGGGAGGGGGAGACGGAAUUCCUGGUGUAGCGGUGAAAUGCGUAGAUAUCAGGAGGAACACCGAUGGCGAAAGCAGUCUCCUGGCCCAAUACUGACACUGAGGUACGAAAGCUAGGGUAGCAAACAGGAUUAGAAACCCUGGUAGUCC
RNAcentral lists this ribosomal RNA (427 nucleotides) under uncultured bacterium. RNAcentral's name for it is "partial 16S ribosomal RNA". It matches the Rfam family "Bacterial small subunit ribosomal RNA", at positions 354 to 796 of the family's 1533-position model. The record is from RNAcentral.